Molecule: ribosomal RNA, 467 nt
Filed under: uncultured bacterium
Lineage: Bacteria
Description: partial 16S ribosomal RNA
Rfam family: Bacterial small subunit ribosomal RNA
Source: RNAcentral
GACGAACGCUGGCGGCGUGCUUAACACAUGCAAGUCGAACGGAAAGGCCCUGCUUUUGUGGGGUGCUCGAGUGGCGAACGGGUGAGUAACACGUGAGUAACCUGCCCUUGACUUUGGGAUAAUUCCAGCAAAUAGGGCAUAUAACCGGAAGGAGCUCCCGGUGGAUGGCGGGGGCUGGAAAGAUUCGGGGGGUGGGGAUGGGAGCGCGGAUUAUCUGCUUGUUGGUGGGGUAGUGGCGUACCAAGGCUUUGACGGGUAGCCGGCCUGAGAGGGUGACCGGCCACAUUGGGACUGAGAGACGGCCCAGACUCCUACGGGAGGCAGCAGUGGGGAAUAUUGCACAGUGGGCGGGAGCCUGAUGCAGCAACGCCGCGUGCGGGAUGACGGCCUUCGGGUUGUAAACCGCUUUCGCCUGUGACGAAGCGUGAGUGACGGUAAUGGGUAAAGAAGCACCGGCUAACUACGUG